This 478-nucleotide long non-coding RNA is filed under the name Prunus dulcis (almond). Its description in RNAcentral is "sRNA ncRNA". The record is from RNAcentral. Lineage: Eukaryota; Viridiplantae; Streptophyta; Magnoliopsida; Rosales; Rosaceae.
AAGCAAUCACCAACCGCCCCCCCACCCCAGAACCCUACACCGGCCAACCUCCCCCAUCCAUCUAACCCUUCUCUCUCUCUUCCAAAACUUAUCAAGACACCCCACCCCCGUCCACCUUUGGCGAACCCAGCAGCAACACCACCGUCACCUACACAUCACCUUAUACAAUGCCGCAAUACCAGAUCUAACCCAAAACCCAGCAUGUCAUUCUAAACCCCUACCCCAUCAGAUCUAGCCUUCAACACCGACGAGCUAUUGGAGACUCUCUCUCUCUCCAUCUAUGUCGCUCUCUCACUUUCAUAAAUCAUUCAAAAAUGGAUGGGUUGGGUUCAAUUUAAUUUGUUUCUUGGAAUUGAUAUGAAUUUUUCUAGUUGUGGCAAGAUUGGGGUGUGGGGCUGAGAUUGCACUAGUUUGGUUGCAAGAUUGGGGGUCUAGGAAGGGGGGUUGUGGGUGAAGGUGAAUUGAUGUCGAGUUUGGG